Long non-coding RNA from Carya illinoinensis, 1647 nucleotides. RefSeq lists it as uncharacterized. The transcript is spliced from 2 exons. The record is from RefSeq and is a predicted model, not a curated record. Lineage: Eukaryota; Viridiplantae; Streptophyta; Magnoliopsida; Fagales; Juglandaceae.
CUCUCUCUCUCUCUCUCUCUCUCUCUCUCUCUCUCUCUUUCUCUCCUCCAGUCAGCUCCCCCGUUGCCGCACCCCUCCCCAUUCGCUCUCUCUCUCCUCGGCUCCACCCCAGGCCACCGUCGCCGCCACCGAGCACGACCACCUCACCGGACCCAACCACCCCACCCCACGCCUCCCUCUCCCUCUCUUCCCUUUCUCUCUCCCCGAGGCAAGCCCAAACCGAGUCCCUCACUAGGUUCCCUGCCGUCGCGAGCCAAUUUGACGGCAGGGGUUGAGCCGCACCACCACCAGCAGCCCCCCACCUCGCCGACGACCAGCUUCCUCCCUUUCCCACAGCUGACACCCUCCAAUUUCCCUCUCCCUCGCACGCUCCAUCUCCCUCUCGGCAUUCUCUUCAUCAUGGCCCAGAUCUGCCGCUAGGCCCACCGUGAGCCACCGAGCACCGUCUCAACUCCUUCCUCCCUCGCAUUCUCUCUCUCACGGAUCCCCUGUGCACAGAUUGGUUGAUCUGCCACCGUGUGCACAGAUUGGUAAAAUCCUACCUUUAUAUAUUUAGAGUAGAUGGACGUGUAUAUGUAGCGUGGUGUUUAUUGCUUAGACAGAUUUAUAUUCAUGGAUAUGUAGUAUUUUGGUUAUGUUGUUGUGGAAGUCGGAGGAGAAACAGAUUGGUUGUGAUGUUGUUUUUGGAUUGUGAAGUGUUGGGUCUUGUGUUGUAGUUGUGAAGUUUUCUUUAUAUAAGGGCCAUUAUGUGACCGCAACUGAUCAUAAUACUUUGAUUGUGUUGUUGUGGAAGUCGAAGGAGAAACAGAUUGGUUGUGAUGUUGUUGUUGGAUUGUGAAGGUAAGUGAUUUGCAAUAUUUAAUCUUCUACAUACAUAUAUAAUCUUUUGCUUGAACAAGGUAAAUGAUUUGUAAUAUUUUUCACUAAUAUGUAUGAGUUGGAAUGUGUUGUGUGAAUGAAGCUUAUAAAGUUAGUGAUUGUGUUUGAAUUGUUAUAUAAUUGAUAUGGAUGGAAUUAUAUAUACUGAAUAUGGUUGUAGGUGAAGUACUUAUAAAAAAUAUAUAUAUAGUUGUAGGUGAACUGUGAUUAUACUCUAAUUAGAGACUUGAAAAUGCAUGAGUAAUUAACUAGCUAUAUAGCAUGUUAAUGUAAAUUUUUACUUUUUUAGGCGUACACUAACUAUACUUGGGUCCUUAAUGCAUGAUUCUUUUUUAUUUGUUUUAAAUAUUGAAGUUAAUAGCAUGGUUCUUGGAACUAUUUGAUUCUUUUUUGGAUGAAGUGGCUUUUCUUGCACAGGGCUGAGAGGAAAUCUCUAGUUUGUGUUGCUGAUAAUUAUACCUACCGACUUCAUAUUUUAGAUGUCCUGCCCCUGCGCAAACAGACCUUUUGCUCUCAAAUAUGCUGCUGAAGCUGCUUGCACGAUGCUUCGUGUAUACCAAGUAGUUGAACAUGAGAAGGUGCCAUUUCAUUUUUCUUAUAUUCUUUUUGGUUGAAUCUUUUGUCAAUGAAACUCAAGAAGUCUGAUUUUUUUUUUUUUUUCUUGGAACUAUGGUGCCAUUUCUUUUCUUGAAUAUGAUGACAAGAGAUGUCCUUUGGAACUCAAGUAUACCUUUGAGAUCAAAAGAGCAAUUAGAUGAGUUUUGCCAA